This 426-nucleotide ribosomal RNA is filed under the name uncultured bacterium. RNAcentral's name for it is "bacterial SSU rRNA". It matches the Rfam family "Bacterial small subunit ribosomal RNA", at positions 954 to 1380 of the family's 1533-position model. The record is from RNAcentral.
GCAGAACGCGAAGAACCUUACCUAGGCUUGACAUGCUGGAGAAAGCUUUCGGAAACGAGAGCCCCUCUUCGGAGUUCCAGCACAGAUGCUGCAUGGCUGUCGUCAGCUCGUGUCGUGAGAUGUUGGGUUAAGUCCCGCAACGAGCGCAACCCUUGCCCUUAGUUACCAGCGGAUAAUGCCGGGGGACUCUAGGGGGACAAACCCGUAAGGGUGGGAAGGUGUGGAUGACGUCAAGUCAGUAUGGCUCUUACAUCCGGGGCUGCACACGUGCUACAAUGCCUGGUACAAAGCGAACCGACCCCGCGAGGGUGAGGAAACCGCUAAAGCCAGGCCCAGUUCAGAUUGGAGUCUGCAACUCGACUCCAUGAAGCCGGAAUCGCUAGUAAUGGUGUAUCAGCUACGACACCGUGAAUACGUUCCCGGGUC